This 492-nucleotide ribosomal RNA is filed under the name uncultured bacterium. Its description in RNAcentral is "partial 16S ribosomal RNA". It matches the Rfam family "Bacterial small subunit ribosomal RNA", at positions 29 to 507 of the family's 1533-position model. The record is from RNAcentral.
AGUGAACGCUGGCGGUAGGCCUAACACAUGCAAGUCGAACGGCAGCACAGUAAGAGCUUGCUCUUACGGGUGGCGAGUGGCGGACGGGUGAGGAAUACAUCGGAAUCUACUUUUUCGUGGGGGAUAACGUAGGGAAACUUACGCUAAUACCGCAUACGACCUACGGGUGAAAGCAGUGGAUCUUCGGACCUUGCGCGUUUGAAUGAGCCGAUGUCGGAUUAGCUAGUUGGCGGGGUAAAGGCCCACCAAGGCGACGAUCCGUAGCUGGUCUGAGAGGAUGAUCAGCCACACUGGAACUGAGACACGGUCCAGACUCCUACGGGAGGCAGCAGUGGGGAAUUUUGGACAAUGGGCGAAAGCCUGAUCCAGCCAUACCGCGUGGGUGAAGAAGGCCUUCGGGUUGUAAAGCCCUUUUGUUCGGAAAGAAAAGCAGCAGGUUAAUACCCCGCUGUUCUGACGGUACCCAAAGAAUAAGCACCGGCUAACUUCGUG